Molecule: ribosomal RNA, 1044 nt
Filed under: Triticum aestivum (bread wheat)
Lineage: Eukaryota; Viridiplantae; Streptophyta; Magnoliopsida; Poales; Poaceae
Description: partial small subunit ribosomal RNA
Source: RNAcentral
AUGCCGGCCUUCGCCGAGAGCACGGCCGAGCCGCCUCUGGCGGACAGCUACUACGCGCUGCUCCGCGGUGGCAACAAAGCCGACGAGUGCGCCUCGGCGCCGCCGCCUGGCUGCCAGGCCCCGCCCGUGUCGGAAUGCGAGCUCCCGAUGAUCGACGUUGGGUGCCUGACGGCGUGCGGCGGGGGCACGGAGGAGAGGGCGGCAUGCGCCGCGGCGAUCGCGUCCGCGGCCGCUGAAUGGGGCUUCUUCCAGGUGGUCAACCACGGCGUCAAGCAGGAGCUCCUGGAGGCGAUGCGGCGGGAGCAGGUGCGCCUCUUCCGCCUGCCGUUCGAGGCCAAGGCCACGGCCGGCCUUCUCAACGACUCCUACCGCUGGGGCUCCCCUACCGCCACGUCGCCAAGGCAGCUGUCCUGGUCUGAGGCCUUCCAUGUCCCGCUCGCCGGCAUCUCCGGUACCCCUUGCAGCUACGGCGAGCUCGCCAGCAUCAGGGAUGUGACGCAGGAGGUGGCGAACGCGAUGUCAAAGCUGGCCAACACGCUGGCGCGCGUCCUGGCCGAGAGCCUGGGACACACCGCCGGCCAACGCUUCCCGAAAGGGUGCGACGAGAGGACGUGCUUCCUCCGGCUGAACAGGUACCCGCCGUGCCCGUUCUCGCCGGACGCCUUCGGCCUGGUGCCGCACACGGACAGCGACUUCCUCACCGUGCUCUGCCAGGACCAAGUCGGCGGCCUGCAGCUGAUGAAGGGCUCCCGGUGGGUGGCCGUCAAGCCCAUUCCCGGCGCUCUCAUCGUCAACAUUGGAGACCUCUUCCAGGCAUGGAGCAACAACAGAUACAAGAGCGUGGAGCACAAAGUGGUGACCAACGCGACGACGGAGAGGUACUCCGUGGCAUACUUCCUUUGCCCGUCGUACGACUCGCCCAUCGGCGCAUGCGAAGAGCCUUCACCUUACAGGACCUUCACCUUCGGGGAGUAUCGGAGAAGGGUGCAGGAAGAUGUCAAGAAGACGGGGAAGAAGAUUGGCCUUCCCAAUUUUCUGCUGUAG